This 75-nucleotide transfer RNA is filed under the name Vibrio phage phiKT1024. Its description in RNAcentral is "tRNA-Ile". It matches the Rfam family "tRNA". Rfam says of the family: Transfer RNA (tRNA) molecules are approximately 80 nucleotides in length. Lineage: Duplodnaviria; Heunggongvirae; Uroviricota; Caudoviricetes. The record is from RNAcentral. RNAcentral also lists the same sequence under 1 other name.
ACUCGGAUAGUAUAACGGCUAUUACACGCGACUGAUAAUCGUGAGAUACAAGUUCGAUUCUUGUUCUGAGUACCA